RNAcentral lists this ribosomal RNA (276 nucleotides) under uncultured eukaryote. Its description in RNAcentral is "partial 18S ribosomal RNA". It matches the Rfam family "Eukaryotic small subunit ribosomal RNA", at positions 21 to 276 of the family's 1831-position model. The record is from RNAcentral.
UAGUCAUAUGCUUGUCUCAAAGAUUAAGCCAUGCAUGUCUAAGUAUAAACGCCUUUAUACUGUGAAACUGCGAAUGGCUCAUUAAAUCAGUUAUAAUUUAUUUGAUAGUACCCCCUUUUACUACAUGGAUAACCGUGGUAAUUCUAGAGCUAAUACAUGCGAAAAAUCCCGACUUUCACGGAAGGGAUGUAUUUAUUAGAUAAAAAACCAACACCCUUCCUCCGGUUCGCCGGGGGAUUGAGAUGGUGACUCAUAAUAACUUGUCGAAUCGUAUGG